CCUUAGAGUUUGAUCCUGGCUCAGGAUGAACGCUAGCUACAGGCUUAACACAUGCAAGUCGAGGGGAAACGACAUCGAAAGCUUGCUUUUGAUGGGCGUCGACCGGCGCACGGGUGAGUAACGCGUAUCCAACCUGCCCAUCACUUGGGAAUAACCUUGCGAAAGUAAGACUAAUACCCAAUGAUAUCUCUAGAAGACAUCUGAAGGAGAUUAAAGAUUUAUCGGUGAUGGAUGGGGAUGCGUCUGAUUAGCUUGUUGGCGGGGUAACGGCCCACCAAGGCGACGAUCAGUAGGGGUUCUGAGAGGAAGGUCCCCCACAUUGGAACUGAGACACGGUCCAAACUCCUACGGGAGGCAGCAGUGAGGAAUAUUGGUCAAUGGGCGAGAGCCUGAACCAGCCAAGUAGCGUGAAGGAUGACUGCCCUAUGGGUUGUAAACUUCUUUUAUACGGGAAUAAAGUGAGGCACGUGUGCCUUUUUGUAUGUACCGUAUGAAUAAGGAUCGGCUAACUCCGUGCCAGCAGCCGCGGUAAUACGGAGGAUCCGAGCGUUAUCCGGAUUUAUUGGGUUUAAAGGGAGCGUAGGCGGACGCUUAAGUCAGUUGUGAAAGUUUGCGGCUCAACCGUAAAAUUGCAGUUGAUACUGGGUGUCUUGAGUACAGUAGAGGCAGGCGGAAUUCGUGGUGUAGCGGUGAAAUGCUUAGAUAUCACGAAGAACUCCGAUUGCGAAGGCAGCUUGCUGGACUGUAACUGACGCUGAUGCUCGAAAGUGUGGGUAUCAAACAGGAUUAGAUACCCUGGUAGUCCACACAGUAAACGAUGAAUACUCGCUGUUUGCGAUAUACAGUAAGCGGCCAAGCGAAAGCGUUAAGUAUUCCACCUGGGGAGUACGCCGGCAACGGUGAAACUCAAAGGAAUUGACGGGGGCCCGCACAAGCGGAGGAACAUGUGGUUUAAUUCGAUGAUACGCGAGGAACCUUACCCGGGCUUGAAUUGCAACUGAAUGAUGUGGAGACAUGUCAGCCGCAAGGCAGUUGUGAAGGUGCUGCAUGGUUGUCGUCAGCUCGUGCCGUGAGGUGUCGGCUUAAGUGCCAUAACGAGCGCAACCCUUAUCGAUAGUUACCAUCAGGUUAUGCUGGGGACUCUGUCGAGACUGCCGUCGUAAGAUGUGAGGAAGGUGGGGAUGACGCCAAAUCAGCACGGCCCUUACGUCCGGGGCUACACACGUGUUACAAUGGGGGGUACAGAAGGCAGCUACACGGCGACGUGAUGCUAAUCCCGAAAGCCUCUCUCAGUUCGGAUUGGAGUCUGCAACCCGACUCCAUGAAGCUGGAUUCGCUAGUAAUCGCGCAUCAGCCACGGCGCGGUGAAUACGUUCCCGGGCCUUGUACACACCGCCCGUCAAG
This 1404-nucleotide ribosomal RNA is filed under the name uncultured bacterium. Its description in RNAcentral is "bacterial SSU rRNA". It matches the Rfam family "Bacterial small subunit ribosomal RNA". The record is from RNAcentral.